CCUACGGGUGACAGCAGUGAGGAAUAUUGGUCAAUGGCCGUAAGGCUGAACCAGCCAAGUAGCGGGAGGGAAGAAUGCCCUAUGGGUUGUAAAACUCUUUUAUGCGGGGAUAAAGGUUUCCACGUGUGGAUGUUUGCAGGUACCGCAUGAAUAAGGACCGGCUAAUUCCGUGCCAGCAGCCGCGGUAAUACGGAAGGUCCGGGCGUUAUCCGGAUUUAUUGGGUUUAAAGGGAGCGUAGGCCGGUCUUUAAGCGUGCCGUGAAAUUUUGUGGCUCAACCAUGGGAGUGCGGCGCGAACUGGGGACCUUGAGUGCGCGAGAGGCAGGCGGAAUUCGUGGUGUAGCGGUGAAAUGCUUAGAUAUCACGCAGAACCCCGAUUGCGAAGGCAGCCUGCCGCAGCGUUACUGACGCUGAGGCUCGAAAGCGCGGGUAUCGAACAGGAUUAGAUACCCCAGUAGUC
Molecule: ribosomal RNA, 460 nt
Filed under: uncultured bacterium
Lineage: Bacteria
Description: partial 16S ribosomal RNA
Rfam family: Bacterial small subunit ribosomal RNA
Source: RNAcentral